CCGUCCGCCUUAUCAAGGUUCUCCCAAUGAAGUUCCUCGCAAGGCCCCAAGCUCGUCUCCUGGUCUUUCGCGAAUAAGCAAGUAGACUUUGCGUACAGGCUAAUCCAUUGGAGAUGGAGGAAGGACACGAACCAUCUCAAUACCACCACCCUCGUCCUCGCUCAGAGAAAGAACCAACCUGGACCCGUGUACAAGUCUCCCUGAUCUUGGUCAAUUAGAGGAAGUAAAAGUCGUAACAAGGUUUCCGUAGGUGAACCUGCGGAAGGAUCAUUAACGAGUUUGAAAUCGAGAGCCUGUUGCUGGUGCGGAAACGCACAUCGUGCACGGCUCCCGUGCUCAAUCCAUUUCAACCCCCUUGUGCACCUUAUCGAAGUCAGUAGUCUUUCUCUUUUUGUUUGCCGGUUGUGUGCGGGAACCUCUUUCUGUUCACUUGGCCGGCGAGGAGAAAUAGAGGGUCGAAAGCUUUGACUUUUCUGUUAAACACUUUGUAUGUCUUGUGGAACGUAUUAGCUCCUUUGUAGGGGCGAAAUAAAUACAACUUUCAACAACGGAUCUCUUGGCUCUCGCAUCGAUGAAGAACGCAGCGAAAUGCGAUAAGUAAUGUGAAUUGCAGAAUUCAGUGAAUCAUCGAAUCUUUGAACGCACCUUGCGCCCCUUGGUAUUCCGAGGGGCAUGCCUGUUUGAGUGUCAUGUUAAUCUCAAACCCCUUGUCUUUUUUGUUGACUUGGUCGGUUUGGACUUGGAGGUGUUGCUGGCGUGCGUCGGCUCCUCUUAAUUGCAUUAGCUGGACUUUGGUUCGCAUUUGACGGUGUAAUAGUAAAGUGUUCGCCGGGCGUGCUUGCCUAACGGGUCUGCUUCUAAUCGUCUUCGGACAACUCUGUUCAUUUUGACCUUGACCUCAAAUCAGGUAGGACUACCCGCUGAACUUAAGCAUAUCAAUAAGCGGAGGAAAAGAAACUAACAAGGAUUCCCCUAGUAACUGCGAGUGAAGCGGGAAGAGCUCAAAUUUAAAAUCUGGCGGCUUUCGGUCGUCCGAGUUGUAAUCUGGAGAGGCAUUUUCCGCGUUGGACCGUGUACAAAGUCUCCUGAUCUUGGGCNUUUAGAGGAAGUAAUGGCGCGAGAUCGAGGACAUGAGUUCUGGGCCUUAGAAGAACUUAUGUGAGGAGAUGGAUCACGUCGCAUGGGGCGUCGGUC
RNAcentral lists this ribosomal RNA (1194 nucleotides) under Phellinus sp. YD-2015. RNAcentral's name for it is "eukaryotic LSU rRNA". The stretch from base 537 to 690 matches the Rfam family "5.8S ribosomal RNA". Lineage: Eukaryota; Fungi; Basidiomycota; Agaricomycetes; Hymenochaetales; Hymenochaetaceae. The record is from RNAcentral.